RNAcentral lists this ribosomal RNA (164 nucleotides) under uncultured bacterium. RNAcentral describes it as "partial 16S rRNA". It matches the Rfam family "Bacterial small subunit ribosomal RNA", at positions 355 to 511 of the family's 1533-position model. The record is from RNAcentral.
UAGGGAAUCUUCCACAAUGGACGAAAGUCUGAUGGAGCAACGCCGCGUGAGUGAAGAAGGUUUUCGGAUCGUAAAGCUCUGUUGUUGGUGAAAAAGGAUAGAGGCAGUAACUGGUCUUUAUUUGACGGUAAUCAACCAGAAAGUCACGGCUAACUACGUGCCGG